This 380-nucleotide ribosomal RNA is filed under the name uncultured eukaryote. RNAcentral describes it as "partial 18S ribosomal RNA". It matches the Rfam family "Eukaryotic small subunit ribosomal RNA", at positions 592 to 976 of the family's 1831-position model. The record is from RNAcentral.
CAAUAGCGUAUAUUAAAGUUGUUGCGGUUAAAAAGCUCGUAGUUGGAUUUCUGCCGAGGACGACCGGUCCGCCCUCUGGGUGAGUAUCUGGCUCGGCCUGGGCAUCUUCUUGGAGAACGUAGCUGCACUUGACUGUGUGGUGCGGUAUCCAGGACUUUUACUUUGAGGAAAUUAGAGUGUUUCAAGCAGGCACACGCCUUGAAUACAUUAGCAUGGAAUAAUAAGAUAGGACCUCGGUUCUAUUUUGUUGGUUUCUAGAGCUGAGGUAAUGAUUAAUAGGGAUAGUUGGGGGCAUUCGUAUUUAACUGUCAGAGGUGAAAUUCUUAGAUUUGUUAAAGACGAACUACUGCGAAAGCAUUUGCCAAGGAUGUUUUCAUUAA